UACAGAGGUCUCAAGCGUUGUUCGGAAUCACUGGGCGUAAAGGGUGCGUAGGCCGCACGGUAAGUCAGAGGUGAAAUCCCGGAGCUCAACUCCGGAAUGGCCUCCGAUACUGCCGUGCUUGAGGACUGGAGAGGAGUCUGGAAUUCACAGUGGAGCAGUGAAAUGCGUAGAUAUCAGGAGGAACACCAAUGGCGAAGGCAGCACUCUGGGACGUGACUGACGCUGAGACGCGAAAGCGUGGGGAGCAAACAGG
Molecule: ribosomal RNA, 253 nt
Filed under: uncultured bacterium
Lineage: Bacteria
Description: partial 16S ribosomal RNA
Rfam family: Bacterial small subunit ribosomal RNA
Source: RNAcentral